Molecule: transfer RNA, 73 nt
Organism: Felis catus (domestic cat)
Lineage: Eukaryota; Metazoa; Chordata; Mammalia; Carnivora; Felidae
Rfam family: tRNA
About the family: Transfer RNA (tRNA) molecules are approximately 80 nucleotides in length. Their secondary structure includes four short double-helical elements and three loops (D, anti-codon, and T loops). Further hydrogen bonds mediate the characteristic L-shaped molecular structure. tRNAs have two regions of fundamental functional importance: the anti-codon, which is responsible for specific mRNA codon recognition, and the 3' end, to which the tRNAs corresponding amino acid is attached (by aminoacyl-tRNA synthetases). tRNAs cope with the degeneracy of the genetic code in two manners: having more than one tRNA (with a specific anti-codon) for a particular amino acid; and 'wobble' base-pairing, i.e. permitting non-standard base-pairing at the 3rd anti-codon position.
Source: Rfam
GCCUGGCUGGCUCAGUCAGAGGAGCAUGUGACUCUUGAUCUCAGGGUCAUGAGUUCAAGUCCCAUAUUGGGUG